This 530-nucleotide ribosomal RNA is filed under the name uncultured bacterium. RNAcentral describes it as "partial 16S ribosomal RNA". It matches the Rfam family "Bacterial small subunit ribosomal RNA", at positions 28 to 523 of the family's 1533-position model. The record is from RNAcentral.
GACGAACGCUGGCGGCGUGCCUAAUACAUGCAAGUCGAACGAACUCUGGUAUUGAUUGGUGCUUGCAUCAUGAUUUACAUUUGAGUGAGUGGCGAACUGGUGAGUAACACGUGGGAAACCUGCCCAGAAGCGGGGGAUAACACCUGGAAACAGAGUCUAAUACCGCAUAACAACUUGGACCGCAUGGUCCGAGCUUGAAAGAUGGCUUCGGCUAUCCAUUUUGGAUGGUCCCGCGGCGUAUUAGCUAGAUGGUGGGGUAACGGCUCACCAUGGCAAUGAUACUUAGCAGACCUGAGAGGGUAAUCGGCCACAUUGGGACUGAGACACGGCCCAAACUCCUACGGGAGGCAGCAGUAGGGAAUCUUCCACAAUGGACGAAAGUCUGAUGGAGCAACGCCGCGUGAGUGAAGAAGGGUUUCGGCUCGUAAAACUCUGUUGUUAAAGAAGAACAUAUCUGAGAGUAACUGUUCAGGCAUUGGCGGUAUUUAACCAGAAAGCCACGGCUAACUACGUGCCAGCCGCCGCCGUAA